AUUGAACGCUGGCGGCAUGCUUUACACAUGCAAGUCGAACGGUAACAGCACUUCGGUGGCUGACGAGUGGCGAACGGGUGAGUAAUACAUCGGAACGUGCCUAGUAGUGGGGGAUAACUACUCGAAAGAGUAGCUAAUACCGCAUGAGAUCUAAGGAUGAAAGCAGGGGACCUUCGGGCCUUGCGCUACUAGAGCGGCUGAUGGCAGAUUAGGUAGUUGGUGGGAUAAAAGCUUACCAAGCCGACGAUCUGUAGCUGGUCUGAGAGGACGACCAGCCACACUGGGACUGAGACACGGCCCAGACUCUUACGGGAGGCAGCAGUGGGGAAUUUUGGACAAUGGGCGCAAGCCUGAUCCAGCAAUGCCGCGUGCAGGAUGAAGGCCUUCGGGUUGUAAACUGCUUUUGUACGGAACGAAAAGCCCUCUUCUAAUACAGGAGGGUCAUGACGGUACCGUAAGAAUAAGCACCGGCUAACUACGUG
RNAcentral lists this ribosomal RNA (482 nucleotides) under uncultured bacterium. Its description in RNAcentral is "partial 16S ribosomal RNA". It matches the Rfam family "Bacterial small subunit ribosomal RNA", at positions 30 to 507 of the family's 1533-position model. The record is from RNAcentral.